UACGUAGGGACCAAGCGUUGUUCGGAUUUACUGGGCGUAAAGGGCGCGUAGGCGGCUUGCCAAGUCACUUGUGAAAUCUCUGGGCUUAACCCAGAACGGCCAAGUGAAACUGGCAUGCUAGAGUGCAGAAGGGGCAAUCGGAAUUCUUGGUGUAGCGGUGAAAUGCGUAGAUAUCAAGAGGAACACCUGAGGUGAAGACGGGUUGCUGGGCUGACACUGACGCUGAGGCGCGAAAGCCAGGGGAGCAAACGGG
Molecule: ribosomal RNA, 253 nt
Filed under: uncultured bacterium
Lineage: Bacteria
Description: partial 16S ribosomal RNA
Rfam family: Bacterial small subunit ribosomal RNA
Source: RNAcentral